Molecule: long non-coding RNA, 5262 nt
Organism: Diospyros lotus (date-plum)
Lineage: Eukaryota; Viridiplantae; Streptophyta; Magnoliopsida; Ericales; Ebenaceae
Exons: 3
Source: RefSeq, a predicted model, not a curated record
UUUGGGCAGCCUAGGUUCAUCAGGGAGUGGCCUAGGGUGGUCUAGGAAGCGUGGGGAAGAAGUCUUGGCCGAAAAUCGGCCAUGUGGGGGUCGAAUUUGGCUAUAAAUAGCCAAGGGUUUCAGCCGAAAAUGAAGCAUCAAAUUGCUCGGUUUUGAGAGCAAAUCGAGGGAAACCAAUAAGAGGCUUUUGAUCCUUGAGGGAAGAGGAUCAUUUCUGGAGAUUUUGGGAAUUUUUGGGGUAGUAUAGAGGGUGUUUUCGCAUAUAUAUACAUUCGGCCGUAUAUAUAUAUAUAUUUUGCGUGAAAUACCAAAUUGGGUUGUAGAGUGAUCGAUCGAGCGAUCUAAUAAGGGGCUUUUGUUCACAAGGUGAUGGGUAACUGAUCUGAAAAUUUUUGUGCCAAUCGGAGUUCGAAUCGAGGGUCAAUUUGAUUCGCCGGAGUUCGGUGGCGGGAUAGCUUCGGUCAACUGUUUUUGGCCAAAUCAGAAGGCUUCGGGUAGUCUUUUCUGAGCAAGAUUGGUACCAUUGGGAUCGAAUAAGGGAGAGGAUCAGCCUGGUGUCGUCGCUUCAAUUUUCCGGUGUGCCGUUGCCGGAGAAGAUGACCGGAGGGUGCCUUGAGGGUUGAGACGAAGUGACUCGUGCGAAGUUCGAAGAAGGCACGCAAAUCGAGACAGGCACGCAAAUCGAGACAGGCACGCAAAUCGAGGCAAACUGCGCUUUUCAAGAAGAAUUCGAAUUGCGCCCAAAGGUGCGAUGUAGCCAUAUGAACCGGCAACAGUAGACAUGGAUUUCGAGUAGGGGAAGUCGAUCAAUUUCGCCAAGCCAAAAUCCCCCACGUGUACCUCAAGCAUAACAUCCAACAAAAUGUUGUUUGAUUUGAUGUCUCGGUGAAUGAUCUGGGGCUUGCAAUCGCAAUGGAGAUAGCACAGGCCUUCUGCUGCGCCAAGAACAAUCCUAUAUCGGGCAUCCCAGUCCAAUAAGCAGGUUUUCCCAUUCCCAUGGAGUUGCUCGCCUAGGCUGCCGUUGGCCAUGUACUCAUACAACAGAGCGUUCGAGUCUUGGUGAUAGCAGAAGCCAUAGAGCUUGACAAUGUUGCGGUGCCUAAUCUUUCCAAGGGUCAAUAUCUAAGCUUGGAAGCUGCGAUCAACACUAGCUCCUCCUCCGCGAGAUUUCAACUUUUUAACAGCAAUCACCUCGCCGCUACCCAUGACAGCCUUGUAGACUGUACCGCAGGCUCCCCUGCCUACAACCGCACUUUCUGAGAAAUUCCCGGUAGCUUCCACGAGGCCCUGAUAUGUGAAACCUUCCUUUGGGAAGUAAUAAUUCUCUAACACAUUGGGUUUCGCUUGAUUUUCAAGUGCAGCAAUAGCAGGCUGCCUGCCUCUUAUAAUCCAACAAACACAUACUGUCAAAACCAAAGAGAUCAAUCCCACAAUCGCAGAGAUAAUGCUCACUAGUUUCUCUUUGGAAGAACCCUCCUUUAACCAGCUUGUUGAAUAUGGCCAGCGCCGCGUAGCACCUAAUCCAGGCAAGCCAUUGUUUCCAGCGAAGUUGCUAGAAUCCAUCCUUCUGAAAACAGGGGUGUUUGGCUCGGCUCCAACGAGGUUAUUGUUGGAUAGGUUGCAGACCAGCAGGCUGAUCAACUCGCCAAUUGAAGCUGGAAUUUCACCACCAAGGUGAUUGUCGUUUAAAUAUAGCGAUUCCAGCAUCUGCAAGUUCCCAAGAUUGGCUGGAAUUGUGCCGGAUAGAGCAUUGUGGAUUAUAUUGAGGGCAAUUUGAAGAGACAAAAGUUGACCAAACUCAACAGGGAUAUACCCAGAGAAAAAGUUCCCUCCCAUCUGCAAUUCUGUAAGCCUGGCUAGACUCCCCAAUGUGCUUGGUAUCGGUCCACUCAGUCUAUUAUCAGAGAGCUUAAGCAAUUCCAGAUUCACUAGGUUGCCAAGCUCAUUUGGGAGAUAGCCAGUGAAUUUAUUCCUGCUAAGAUCAAGCCUCUGGAGCUUUGUACAGUUGCCUAACUCAUGAGGAAUACUCCCGGUGAGCCGGUUAGAAGAUACAUUGAAUGUGACAAGCUGUACUAGUUUUCCAACCUCAGGCGGGAUAAUCCCCACAAAGUAGUUGUCAGAUAAGAGCAGCCUCUUCAAAUUCCUAAGCUCUCCUAAUUCGGGCAGUAUCACUCCCAAGAAUCUGUUUCGAUAGAGUUCGAGAGCAGACAGGUUGUGAAGUUUAGGAAACUCAAUUGGGAGGCUCCCUGUAAGCAGAUUAUCUCCUAACAUUAGCUGUAUAAGGGACUUGCACGUUUGCAGACCAUGAGGAAUAUUUCCAGAUAACUGGUUCGAGCCAAGGCUUAGAAAAUUCAGUUUCCUGAACUUGCAAAGUUGUGGAGGUAUGCUACCUGUGAGAUGAUUGGCAGACAUGUCAAGAAUGGAGAGGUUACUGUUAACGCCAAUAAGAGGGGGAAUAGUUCCCUCAAGAUGGUUGUCGAAGAGUUGUAAAUCCUCCAAGAAUGUGAGGUUCUGUAGCUCCAAGGGAAUUCUACCCGUCAAAUUAUUUAUCGACAAAUCUAACUUCCUCAGCUGCUGUAACUGUCCAAGCUCUCUUGGUAUGCUUCCCUGCAGGAGGUUUUCAAAAAGUUGGAGUAAGCGGAGGUUAGGAAUCCGGCCCAACUCUGGUGGAAUGAAUCCACUUAAAUUGUUCUCAGAAAGAUCGAUCUCAACAGCACUUGAACAAUCUCCUAGCUCCCUAGGAAUUGUUCCAUUCAACUGGUUGGUGUAAAUGUACAACUUCUUCAACCGGGUCAAUUUUCCAAUCUCCUUGGGGAGGCUUCCACUAAAGGAAUUUCCAUGCAGAGCAAGCAGUUCCAAGCUGCUGAAGUUCCCAAUUUCAGGAGGAAUCUCGCCAGAGAGAAGGUUUUGCCAAAGUAUCAAGUCAGUGAGAUUCUUAACCCUCUGAAGCUCUACAGGGAAAAAACCUUCUAACCUAUUCUGUGCCAACCCCAGUACCUGCAAGCCCUCACAUUUGCUGAUCUCUACCGGGAUUGGACCGGAGAAGAAGUUUUGGCCGGCCCUUAUAAUCCUUAGCCAUUUCAAGUUACCAAGUGAAAGUGGGAGCAUUCCAGUGAAGUUGUUACUGUAAAUUACUAACUCUUCAAGCAUAGUUAAAUUCCCAAUCUCCUCUGGGAUUUCACCAUAUAUAUAGUUCUCACACAGAGAGAGCUUUCUUAGGGUUGAAAUUUUGCAGAUUUGGGCUGGUAAUUCCCCAUGGAAUCUGUUAGUGCACAGGUCUAAAACCUCUAAAUUAUGGCAGUAAGCAAGAUCACUAGGAAUGGGGCCAGCAAUGAAAUUGGAUGAAACGUUGAACAGAGUCAAGUAAGGGAUCUUACAAAUGAAGGGAGAUGGAUUGCCAGACAAGUUUAAGCCACUGAGAUUGAUAGAAAAUACCUUGAAUUCAUCAGUGCAAGCUAUACCUGUCCAAUGGCAUGGAGUUAAAUCAAAGGGGUUCCAGCUUUGGAGAUUGUUGUGGGGAUCAAGAAGGGAUCUUUUGAACUCCAAGAGAACAAACCCCUCCUGGUUUAAAGAUUCAACCUUGAUGAUAAACAAGCAGCAAGCCAUCAGCACCAAAUGGAGAUGUUGCUGAACGUGUUGAGUCAUCUGCCUUGCCAAUUUCCAAGGGAUGAAAAGAGGGCAAGAAAACAAAAAACCUAGAUGCUAGGUUUCCAUUGCAAGAUUGUUAUAGACGGCAAAGUUGAUGAGCACUCAAGAGGUGCAAAAGCUAUAUUGUAAACAAGUCAUGGAUCAAAAUUAGGGUAAUGAGUGCGUAUUUUAGCUAACAAAAAUGCAGCCAUGCAUAGAAAGAACCCAAUAAGGAAUUAGUGAGGAUAGAGAAACAGAGACUAUGAGAUGUGAAAUUGACCCAAGAGGACUGAAGAUACCCAACUGAACCUGCAGCCCUGCAGAGCAGUGUGAAACAUAAAUAAGGAGAGAUGGGUAGAAAUAGCGAGGACAGGAUAAGUGAGAGAGAGAGAGAGAGAGAGAGAGAGAGAGAGAGAGAGAUGUGCAAACCUUUAAAAGAGAGACCAUAACUCUGAAGGGCCUACGAUGGUCUCUUCUAUUAUUAGGGUUCAAAUCUCUCAGAGCAACUCGUGGACCUAAUAAGUUUAUGGGCGCACACUUAAAACAACUAGUGGUUGCGGCUUCUCAUAAUCGAGAAAAAAGGCGUGAAAAGAUUGAUUAAAGAAGGCAAGAAGCGAGAGAGAGAGAGAGAGAGAGAGAGAGAGAGAGGGCAGUUCUACCAUCAGAGUCACGAUCCAAAAACAGAGCCAGAGAAGGAAAAAUGGAGUCGACCCUGCACUUUACAGCCGGGAAGUGAGUGCCCAAGUUGGGUUUUGCUUUUGUUCAUCAUGUUCUUCUUCAAUUCAACCUUUUCUUUCUGAUCAACAUUUGUUGCUGUUUCUGCUGCUACUGCUACCUCCACUUGUCUUCUCUUCUCUUCUGAUUCUUAUCAUUAUUUCCCAUUGGUUGGUGGGUGGACCAUAUAUAACAGUAGUAGAGAAUGGAGAUGAAGACGAGUCACGGGAAUAAAUGGAUUGCAAUCUCCGCCAUUGUUGCUUGGCCUAAAUUAAUGUUUCUUUUGACUGUUUGGGAUAGGGAGAAAUCUGGGAAGCAAUGAUUCUGCAUGUUGAAACUUGAAGCAUGAUUGUGAGAAAGUGCAGGCUCUAUCUGCCCCAAUUUCCUCAAAUUCAGUGGCCUCUUGCCCACUUUAAUGAGUUGGGUCAUCUGGCAAUUUGCUCAUGGCUUAAGUUUUCAUAUUCAGGUUUGAAUUUUUUGAUGAUCCAUCACAAUCACACACAGGCCUUGUGUAGUUUGUCUUCUAGUUCUAGUAGUUAGGUUUAGUCAUAUAAAAAAAAAUCAUCAUAUUAGUAUACAAUAUUUUUGCUAUAAUUAUUGAUGAUAUAGAACAAUCACUCUAAUUUUGUGGGAAUUUAAACAGUCUGAUUUUAAGGAGACUUGGGUGCUCAUUAGUUAAAAGAAAACAGUUCCCAGAUUUUGUAUCAGUAUUAAUCUUAAUUAAACUAAAAUCUCAUGUUUUUCUAUUUUAAAAAACCCUAAGACUCCCCCUUGUUUGUGAAGAAAACAGUUACAAAUGUCUCAAAUCUGUUCUCUAAUGAUCCGUAUAAAUUUGAAAAUACUGUUUUCCACUGGACAUCUUCCUGCACUCUUUAAACUUAAUAAACUAAGAUAAUUAUUAUAUCAAAUUUCAUUUGAUAA